AUGCACGCUAGCGGCAGGCCUAACACAUGCAAGUCGAGGGAGAAGCCCUUUCGGGGGCAGAAACCGGCGCACGGGUGCGUAACGCGUAUGCAACCUACCUUUCACAGGGGGAUAGCCCGAAGAAAUUUGGAUUAAUACCCCAUAAUAUUAUUGGAUGGCAUCAUUUGAUAAUUAAAACUGCGGUGGUGAAAGAUGGGCAUGCGUCCUAUUAGCUAGUUGGAGUGGUAACGGCACCCCAAGGCUACGAUAGGUAGGGGUCCUGAGAGGGAGAUCCCCCACACUGGUACUGAGACAGGGACCAGACUCCGACGGGAGGCAGCAGUGAGGAAUAUUGGUAAAUGGUCGGAAGACUGAACCAGCCAUGCCGCGUGCAGGAAGAAUGCCUUAUGGGUUGUAAACUGCUUUUAUAUGGGAAGAAUAAGGCGUACGUGUACGUUGAUGACGGUACCAUAUGAAUAAGCAUCGGCUAACUCCGUG
RNAcentral lists this ribosomal RNA (477 nucleotides) under uncultured bacterium. RNAcentral's name for it is "partial 16S ribosomal RNA". It matches the Rfam family "Bacterial small subunit ribosomal RNA", at positions 29 to 507 of the family's 1533-position model. The record is from RNAcentral.